GUCUACAGCCAUGACACUCUGAACAAGCCCAAUCCCGUCUGAUCUCGGAAGCUAAGCAGGGUUGGGCCUGGUUAGCACUCGGAUGGGAGACCACCAAGGAAGACCAAGUGCUGUAGGCA
This 119-nucleotide ribosomal RNA is filed under the name Pteropus alecto (black flying fox). The record is from RNAcentral. Lineage: Eukaryota; Metazoa; Chordata; Mammalia; Chiroptera; Pteropodidae.